This 253-nucleotide ribosomal RNA is filed under the name uncultured bacterium. Its description in RNAcentral is "partial 16S ribosomal RNA". It matches the Rfam family "Bacterial small subunit ribosomal RNA", at positions 524 to 776 of the family's 1533-position model. The record is from RNAcentral.
GACAGAGGGUGCAAACGUUGUUCGGAAUUACUGGGCGUAAAGCGCGUGUAGGCGGCUCGGAAAGUCGGGUGUGAAAGCCCGGGGCUCAACUCCGGAAUUGCCUUUAAGACUGCAUCGCUAGAAUUGUGGAGAGGUAAGUGGAAUUCCGAGUGUAGAGGUGAAAUUCGUAGAUAUUCGGAAGAACACCAGUGGCGAAGGCGACUUACUGGACACAUAUUGACGCUGAGGUGCGAAAGCGUGGGGAGCAAACAGG